GACGAACGCUGGCGGCGCGCCUAACACAUGCAAGUCGAACGGAGUUGUGUUGAAAGCUUGCUGGAUAUACAACUUAGUGGCGGACGGGUGAGUAACACGUGAGUAACCUGCCUCUCAGAGUGGAAUAACGUUUGGAAACGAACGCUAAUACCGCAUAACGUGAGAAGAGGGCAUCCUCUUUUUGCCAAAGAUUUAUCGCUGAGAGAUGGGCUCGCGGCCGAUUAGGUAGUUGGUGAGAUAACAGCCCACCAAGCCGACGAUCAGUAGCCGACCUGAGAGGGUGACCGGCCACAUUGGGACUGAGACACGGCCCAA
This 315-nucleotide ribosomal RNA is filed under the name uncultured bacterium. RNAcentral's name for it is "bacterial SSU rRNA". It matches the Rfam family "Bacterial small subunit ribosomal RNA", at positions 28 to 334 of the family's 1533-position model. The record is from RNAcentral.